CCUACGGGAGGCAGCAGUGGGGAAUAUUGGGCAAUGGGCGCAAGCCUGACCCAGCAAUGCCGCGUGAAGGAAGAAGGCUUUCGGGUUGUAAACUUCUUUGACAGGGGAAGAGCAGAAGACGGUACCCUGAAAACAAGCCAGGGCUAACUAGGUGCCAGCAGCCGCGGUAACACGGAGGUGGCAAGCGUUGUCCGGAUUAACUGGGGGUAAAGGGCGUGUAGCCGGGAAGGCAAGUCAGAUGUGAAAACUGGAGGCUCAACCUGCGAAUUGCAUGUGAAACUGUUUUUCUUGAGUACUGGAGAGGCAGACGGAAUUCCUGGUGUAGCGGUGAAAUGCGUAGAGAUAAGGAGGAAAACCAGUGGCGAAGGCGGCCUGCUGGACAGCGACUGACGCUGAGGCGCGAAAGCGUGGGGAGCAAACAGGAUUAGAUACCCCUGUAGUC
RNAcentral lists this ribosomal RNA (442 nucleotides) under uncultured bacterium. Its description in RNAcentral is "partial 16S ribosomal RNA". It matches the Rfam family "Bacterial small subunit ribosomal RNA", at positions 338 to 795 of the family's 1533-position model. The record is from RNAcentral.